UACGGAGGAUGCGAGCGUUAUCCGGAUUUAUUGGGUUUAAAGGGUGCGUAGGCGGGACUGUAAGUCAGGGGUGAAAUACUGCAGCUUAACUGUAGCAUUGCCUUUGAAACUGCCGUUCUUGAGUACAGUUGAGGUAGGCGGAAUGUGGUGUGUAGCGGUGAAAUGCAUAGAUAUACCACAGAACGCCGAUUGCGAAGGCAGCUUACUAAGCUGUUACUGACGCUGAGGCACGAAAGCGUGGGGAUCAAACAGGAUUAGAUA
RNAcentral lists this ribosomal RNA (261 nucleotides) under uncultured prokaryote. RNAcentral describes it as "partial 16S ribosomal RNA". It matches the Rfam family "Bacterial small subunit ribosomal RNA", at positions 524 to 784 of the family's 1533-position model. The record is from RNAcentral.